CUUCACAGUACACAGUUGAAAAAUAAUUGAAUCCUUCAUGGCUUUCAGGACGAAUGCUAUUCUGUUUUUCCUUUUUCUUUAUUUUUAAAACCAUUCUGAAGUCGCAGUACAUCCAAUAUUACUUAUUUUCGUGUACAGAUCAACUGGGCUUUAUGAAUCAGGGAAGAUAAUUACAGCCGGUGAUCUUACUGGAAUAUAGAAAAGUGCUUCAGCAGUCCGGAGCCUGGAAUCAGGAUUAUAUAUACUUCAGCUGAAACAUCCUUGGAAAAGGAGUUAUGGAAGGUGCCAUUAAAAGAAAUUGGAAAGAAAAAAUUUUAAUAAUUAAAGAGCUUUUCAUUAAAAUUUUCACUAACCUCGAGCUUUACAUACAAUUUCCUCAAAAUGCCAAAUCAAAAGCAAACUUGACCUAUGGUGUCAACUGAUGAUCUUGACACUCAAUAUUUAUAAUCCU
RNAcentral lists this unclassified non-coding RNA (451 nucleotides) under Hevea brasiliensis (rubber tree). The record is from RNAcentral. Lineage: Eukaryota; Viridiplantae; Streptophyta; Magnoliopsida; Malpighiales; Euphorbiaceae.